Podarcis lilfordi (Lilford's wall lizard) is the source of this 125-nucleotide non-coding RNA. The record is from the annotation of a GenBank genome assembly. NCBI's taxonomy places the organism in Eukaryota, Metazoa, Chordata, Lepidosauria, Squamata, Lacertidae.
AAUUCAGCAGCAUUUUAGUGCAAAUUUAUCCUAAAAACACAUUUUUGUAUGAUUUUGACACACACAGUCAAAACCAUACAAAAUGUGUUUUUUAGGAGAAACAUGCACUAAAAUGCUGCUGGAUU